RNAcentral lists this ribosomal RNA (2906 nucleotides) under Klebsiella michiganensis. Its description in RNAcentral is "23S ribosomal RNA". It matches the Rfam family "Bacterial large subunit ribosomal RNA". Lineage: Bacteria; Pseudomonadati; Pseudomonadota; Gammaproteobacteria; Enterobacterales; Enterobacteriaceae. The record is from RNAcentral.
GGUUAAGCGACUAAGCGUACACGGUGGAUGCCCUGGCAGUCAGAGGCGAUGAAGGACGUGCUAAUCUGCGAAAAGCGUCGGUAAGGUGAUAUGAACCGUUACAGCCGGCGAUGUCCGAAUGGGGAAACCCAGUGCAAUUCGUUGCACUAUCGUUAACUGAAUACAUAGGUUAACGAGGCGAACCGGGGGAACUGAAACAUCUAAGUACCCCGAGGAAAAGAAAUCAACCGAGAUUCCCCCAGUAGCGGCGAGCGAACGGGGAGCAGCCCGGAGUCUGAAUCAGCUUGUGUGUUAGUGGAAGCGUCUGGAAAGUCGCAGGGUACAGGGUGAUACUCCCGUACACUAAAACACACAGGUUGUGAACUCGAAGAGUAGGGCGGGACACGUGGUAUCCUGUCUGAAUAUGGGGGGACCAUCCUCCAAGGCUAAAUACUCCUGACUGACCGAUAGUGAACCAGUACCGUGAGGGAAAGGCGAAAAGAACCCCGGCGAGGGGAGUGAAAAAGAACCUGAAACCGUGUACGUACAAGCAGUAGGAGCCCACUUGUUGGGUGACUGCGUACCUUUUGUAUAAUGGGUCAGCGACUUAUAUUCUGUAGCAAGGUUAACCGUAUAGGGGAGCCGCAGGGAAACCGAGUCUUAACUGGGCGUUAAGUUGCAGGGUAUAGACCCGAAACCCGGUGAUCUAGCCAUGGGCAGGUUGAAGGUUGGGUAACACUAACUGGAGGACCGAACCGACUAAUGUUGAAAAAUUAGCGGAUGACUUGUGGCUGGGGGUGAAAGGCCAAUCAAACCGGGAGAUAGCUGGUUCUCCCCGAAAGCUAUUUAGGUAGCGCCUCGUGAACUCAUCUUCGGGGGUAGAGCACUGUUUCGGCUAGGGGGUCAUCCCGACUUACCAACCCGAUGCAAACUACGAAUACCGAAGAAUGUUAUCACGGGAGACACACGGCGGGUGCUAACGUCCGUCGUGAAGAGGGAAACAACCCAGACCGCCAGCUAAGGUCCCAAAGUCAUGGUUAAGUGGGAAACGAUGUGGGAAGGCCCAGACAGCCAGGAUGUUGGCUUAGAAGCAGCCAUCAUUUAAAGAAAGCGUAAUAGCUCACUGGUCGAGUCGGCCUGCGCGGAAGAUGUAACGGGGCUAAACCAUGCACCGAAGCUGCGGCAGCGACACUAUGUGUUGUUGGGUAGGGGAGCGUUCUGUAAGCCGUUGAAGGUGGCCUGUGAGGGUUGCUGGAGGUAUCAGAAGUGCGAAUGCUGACAUAAGUAACGAUAAUGCGGGUGAAAAACCCGCACGCCGGAAGACCAAGGGUUCCUGUCCAACGUUAAUCGGGGCAGGGUGAGUCGACCCCUAAGGCGAGGCCGAAAGGCGUAGUCGAUGGGAAACAGGUUAAUAUUCCUGUACUCGGUGUUACUGCGAAGGGGGGACGGAGAAGGCUAUGUUGGCCGGGCGACGGUUGUCCCGGUUUAAGCAUGUAGGCGGAUGUUCCAGGUAAAUCCGGAACGUCACUAACGCUGAGGUGUGAUGACGAGGCACUACGGUGCUGAAGUGACAAAUGCCCUGCUUCCAGGAAAAGCCUCUAAGCAUCAGGUAACAUCAAAUCGUACCCCAAACCGACACAGGUGGUCAGGUAGAGAAUACCAAGGCGCUUGAGAGAACUCGGGUGAAGGAACUAGGCAAAAUGGUGCCGUAACUUCGGGAGAAGGCACGCUGAUGGUAGGUGAAGUGACUUGCUCAUGGAGCUGAAAUCAGUCGAAGAUACCAGCUGGCUGCAACUGUUUAUUAAAAACACAGCACUGUGCAAACACGAAAGUGGACGUAUACGGUGUGACGCCUGCCCGGUGCCGGAAGGUUAAUUGAUGGGGUUAUCCUCGCGGAGAAGCUCUUGAUCGAAGCCCCGGUAAACGGCGGCCGUAACUAUAACGGUCCUAAGGUAGCGAAAUUCCUUGUCGGGUAAGUUCCGACCUGCACGAAUGGCGUAAUGAUGGCCAGGCUGUCUCCACCCGAGACUCAGUGAAAUUGAACUCGCUGUGAAGAUGCAGUGUACCCGCGGCAAGACGGAAAGACCCCGUGAACCUUUACUAUAGCUUGACACUGAACACUGGUCCUUGAUGUGUAGGAUAGGUGGGAGGCUUUGAAGUGUGGACGCCAGUCUGCAUGGAGCCAUCCUUGAAAUACCACCCUUUAAUGGCUGGUGUUCUAACGUGGGCCCCUAAUCGGGGUUGCGGACAGUGUCUGGUGGGUAGUUUGACUGGGGCGGUCUCCUCCUAAAGAGUAACGGAGGAGCACGAAGGUCAGCUAAUCCUGGUCGGACAUCAGGAGGUUAGUGCAAUGGCAUAAGCUGGCUUGACUGCGAGCGUGACGGCGCGAGCAGGUGCGAAAGCAGGUCAUAGUGAUCCGGUGGUUCUGAAUGGAAGGGCCAUCGCUCAACGGAUAAAAGGUACUCCGGGGAUAACAGGCUGAUACCGCCCAAGAGUUCAUAUCGACGGCGGUGUUUGGCACCUCGAUGUCGGCUCAUCACAUCCUGGGGCUGAAGUAGGUCCCAAGGGUAUGGCUGUUCGCCAUUUAAAGUGGUACGCGAGCUGGGUUUAGAACGUCGUGAGACAGUUCGGUCCCUAUCUGCCGUGGGCGCUGGAGAAUUGAGGGGGGCUGCUCCUAGUACGAGAGGACCGGAGUGGACGCAUCACUGGUGUUCGGGUUGUCAUGCCAAUGGCAUUGCCCGGUAGCUAAAUGCGGAAGAGAUAAGUGCUGAAAGCAUCUAAGCACGAAACUUGCCCCGAGAUGAGUUCUCCCUGACCCUUUAAGGGUCCUGAAGGAACGUUGAAGACGACGACGUUGAUAGGCCGGGUGUGUAAGCGCAGCGAUGCGUUGAGCUAACCGGUACUAAUGAACCGUGAGGCUUAACCUU